UCCCGGACCAGGGCUCGAACCUGUGUCCCCUGCAUUGGCAGGCAGAUUCUUAACCACUAUGCCACCAGGGAAAUCUUGACUUUCAUCCUUGGUCCCUUGAUUGUUCCUGCAAAGCAUGAGAAAUGUCCAAAAAGAUAGAAAGCCCAAAUCUAGAUCUUGCCUUCUCAACACUGGCUGCCCUUGAGGGAGCUGACUUUUCACUGUCCCUGCACCAGGCCCUAUUUGCCAAGGGAAAGAGAAGCUCUGGGUGGACCCCUCUCCUUCCUCCCUUGCAGGCUUUCAUGGUUUCAAAUAUCACCUCUUGACUCCAAAAUCUGGAUUUCCAAUCUCGACAGUCCAUGUAAUCAGUCUUCUACAGAAAAUGCACUGUUCACUCCACUUUUCUCUCUCCUUCUCUCGUGCUAAGACAUCUCUAUUACCAAAUGCCAAGACUGUGACAACAUCCUCUAAACUGGUCUCCCUCACUGUAGGGCCUUCUUCUAAGCCAUCCUUUAUCCUGGCAUUAGUUUUAAUUUUCUAAAGCAACACUUUGAACGUUGGCCUUUUCCUUGUGCCUCUGUGGUGCCUCUUUGAUGCCUCCAGGGUAAUGUGCUAACACUUGACCCUGGAAAUCAAGAUGCUUUGCAAUCUUGACCUUAUUUACUUGAUCGACUCAUCUUUCUCAUUACCAUCCAGGUACGGCAGCAACGAUCCGCUUUUACUGAAAAUCCUCAAGUUCCCCUGCGCUUCUCAGCCUCUCUUGCUGUUAGACUGGGCCCAGGUGGCUCAGUUCUGCCUGAGGAGAUGUGGGUAGAAAUAAGGUUUGUCGUUUCAAGGCUUGGCCUCGGCAGCCCCUACCUGGCUCUCCAGGUCUCUCUUCGGGUUUCGUGGUGUCUCCAGAGGCCACUUAUUUAGAAGGUUCAGCUACAAUAUGGUAGCACCUCCACCAGCCUGGGUCCCCGAGUGUCCAUGUGGAGUAGAGCCAAGGUGACCGUUGUUGGACGUGUAAUAUGAGUAAGAAAUAGGUUUGCUUUUGUGUUAAGCCUUUGAGAUUUUAGGCUUAGGUGGUUAGUAGACCUCUUGAUUCUAAGUUAAGAGGCAGGACCAGUCCUUUUUUCGGCCACGCCGCACAGCUUGUGGGAUCUUGAACUCCCUGACCAGGGAUCGAACCUGCGUCCCCUGAAUUGGAAGCAUGAAGUCCUAACUACUGGACCGCCAGGGCAGUCCCUACAGGUGGGAACACUCUUGAGCAGACCAAGAUGUGUGUGCACAUAUGGGGUCAAGGGUGCAUGGGGUGGGGAAAAGCUUCUUACACAGCUAAUAAGUGGCAGGGGUGGGAUUUGAACCCGGGUCUCACUCUACCAUCUGAGAGGCACACUGCUCUCGAGACACUGAAGACUCAAGUCUGCAGGGCUAGCCCACAGAACUACCCAAGUUUCCCGGAAUGUCUCCGGGGCCCUCAUUCAGUUCCCAUGUUGCUGACUCCCUUGCCUCAACUUACCGCCUUGUGCCUGGUUAGGUCUUUCUAGGCUCAGCGGUGGGUGUCACUUCUCCUGGGAAUGUUCCCGAAACUGAAGACAUGAGUCUUUUUCCUCUCACAGAACCCUGGAUAUGUAUCAUAGUAGAGUACUUCCUGUCUGCUAAUUAUCUACUUCCUGUGUUCGCUGAUAAAGUCACUCUGGGCAGCGUGGAGAUCCUACCCCUGUAUUCCCACUGCUUCCUUAAUUUGCCCAUCCUAAACCUUUGACACACAUUUGUUCAAUAAAUGAAUGAACACGUGUCCGAAUGACCACAUCUAGAAGAUGCCCCCCUGUUAUUAUGCUGUCUUGCAUUAGAAGAAAGGUGUGCUGAGUGAUUGAGAUUCUUUUUUUUUAUCAUGGUUACUUCAAAGGGUGGAAAUUUUCUCCUUUCCGUUACCUCUGGCUAUAACUUAUUGACAACUUCAGCCUAAAAUAGCACGUAGCAGCUUUUCACUGUGCCUGUUUGGGAACUUCCUGACGGCACAUUUCGGAAGGUGAAUGACUUGUAAAUGCCCCUUGCUCCAUGUCUUAAACAGGUGUCUGCUUUCUGCCAUCUUUUACGGUUAUUGAAGGCACUAAAGAUUUUAAACUAUUUUGCCUAUUUGACCUGAAUCUGAAAAUGAUGGCUUUCUCCCCCGGUUCUAAUUCUGACACUUGGAGUGACAGAAGAGGGAGCUCUGAGUUAGGUAAUCGUGGCCCACCUUUGGGGAAGCUUCUCCUUGCUCUAGGCCCGGAUGAUGGACGGCUUAGUAACUCUUGAGGAUGGAAACGAAUCUGCAAGGGAGCAAGGAUCCAUCAGUGUUGAGCACCUCGCCAGAGGACGGUCCUGGGUGUGAGGAGGCGACUGCCAGCAUGGGGAGAGAGACCUCAGAGCCCCCUCCUCCAGAGUAACGCCUGCACCUCCCAGGCGGUAGGUCCCCUUGCCAGUGGUGGUGAAUCUGUCCUCACUGGCAUCGCCCAUCCAGAAAAGGACAUUGUGCUGCAGAGGGAGGGUAAGUAGCAGUCUCUUGAGCCCCCUGGUCCGCACCCUAAGCCCUUCACCCGUGGAGGGUUUCCUUGGUUGUGCCCAACACAGGGAAAAUGGGCCGGGCCCCCUUGCUUCUCCCCUGUGGCAGAGUGCACGCCCUGAUCUGUGGCUGCCGGAGAGGCUGAUGGAAAGGGAAGGGGAGCCCUCAAACCAGGCGCAAGAUUCAACCGCUCCCAGCUCGUCCUUCUGAAAACCACCGGAUCCCAGGACCUUGAUGCAUGGCCGAAGGGCUGCAAGAAACUGAGACAGUGAGAACCACAGAAUUCAAGUUAUUCCCUGAAGGACGGAGCCUGGAUGGGAACUGCGGCCCAAUCCUCCUGCUAUCACAUCAACAGACCACAUCUACCAGCCGAAAUGUGGUCCCCUGGCCACACCCCAUUUUCAUCAUCUCACUGCUCCCUGACUUUCUUCUUCCAAAUGACAAGGGCUUUUAUUUUAUUUGGUCAUUUAUAGUUUUUACAAUAAUGCUAAAUUAACAUUCAGAAUUCUGACAAAGAAAAAAAAUAGCAGAUAAACCAAAAGCACAGCAUUUAUGUUAUGAUUUUUAUCACUAAUUAUUUUAUUAUCAUACUUAAACUAUUUCUUUAAACAUUAUUUUUAAAUUAUUACAUUACUUUAUUAUCAUUAAUUAGUUUUGAUUGGUGUAAAAUUUGCUUAACAUAAAUUUAACCAUUCUCAAGCGACUCAGUGGCAUUUGGUACAACCGCAAUGUUGUGCGACCAUCACCUCUAUGGAAUUCCAAGCCAUUUUCAUCAGCCCCAAAGGAGCCCCCAUACCCACUGGCAGUCCCCCUCCCCCCUUCCUUCCUCUCCUUGGCCUCUGGCAACUAUUAACCUGAUUUCUGUCCCUAUGGAUUUACCUAUAUUCGAUAUUUCAUACGAAUGGAAUCACACAAUAUGUGAUCUUUGUGCCUGACUUUUUCGUUAAUUAUUUUAAAGCACCGUUUUCUACUUUAAGAAGUAGAUAAAGUGGAAAACAUUAAACUUAGUAGGAUUAUUAAGUGUUCACUCCUUAGUAGACUUUCAUAUUCAAGGGUGUGGUGGUAUUUUAUUUAUUCUUUUAAAAUAAAUUUAUUUAUUUA
Aethalodelphis obliquidens (Pacific white-sided dolphin) is the source of this 3607-nucleotide long non-coding RNA. RefSeq lists it as uncharacterized. The record is from RefSeq and is a predicted model, not a curated record. The transcript is spliced from 2 exons. NCBI's taxonomy places the organism in Eukaryota, Metazoa, Chordata, Mammalia, Artiodactyla, Delphinidae.